AAACAUCUCUUUUUGAAUAAAAUUUUAAGUUGACUCUGCCCAAUGAAUAAUUAAAUGGCUGCAGUAUUUUGACUGUACAAAGGUAGCAUAAUAAUUUGUUUUUUAAAUGAAAACUAGAAUGAAGGAGGUGAUGAAAUAUAAACUUUUUUAAAUUAAAGUUUUGAAUUUUAUUUCUAAAUUAAAAAGUUUAGAUAUAAUUAAGGGACGAGAAGACCCUAUAGAAUUUUACAAUAUAAAUAUAUUUAGAAUAAAUUUAAAAAAUAUUGUUUAUUUGGGAGGAAUAUUAAAAUUUUAAACUUUAAUUUUAAAUUACAUAUAUAUAUGGAUAAAAUGAUUUUUAUAAUUAAAUAUAAGAUUAAAUUACCUUAGGGAUAACAGCGUAAUAUUAUUUGAUAGUUCAUAUUAAAAAUAAUGUUU
This 417-nucleotide ribosomal RNA is filed under the name Epyris sp. RNAcentral describes it as "partial large subunit ribosomal RNA". Lineage: Eukaryota; Metazoa; Arthropoda; Insecta; Hymenoptera; Bethylidae. The record is from RNAcentral.